GGGUCCGUCUGUUGGGAAGGGAUUAGCAUACUCACCAGGGCUUUGGACAGUCAAAGGGCAGUAUGAAAAUAUUUGAGCAUCUGGGGAAGACACUGAAAGAAGAGACAGGUGAUUACAGCCUUUCUCAGCUGAGAGAGAACAACAGUAGCUGUACCUACGAUGAAGAGGAAAUGCUACAGAGAUUGGCCUUGCAGUUGAGACGCACUGGAGAUGGAAUCAACAAUAGAGUGCUUCAAGAGGGCCUUCAAUUAGAAGACGUCAGAGACACAGUGGCUCAUUUUGUCUUAUUUUUGCUUAGGAAAGCUCAUUUGGUUUUGAGCUAUUUUUUGGCUAACCAUCCAAUGUAGAACAAAACUUUAAAUUUAAGCUAUUUGUUUUCUCUCUGCUUUUUGAGACACACAAGUUCCCCUUAUUGAACUAUAAAGUCCUGAGGAUAAACACCGCACCUCAUUGAUCUUCCUGUCUCCCUGGGUGGUUUAUACCUAGUAGGUACAGAGCAAAGUGGUAGAAUGGUAUGAAGGCUGGAAGUGGAGUCAAAUCUCAGCUCAAAAUCUGGCUGUGACAGUUACUGGCCAUGGGACCCGGAGAAAGUCACUUAAGUUCACUGAAUCUGUUUCUAUGUCAAUAAAAUGAGACUAAUUAUAAUGCUUAUACUACUG
Molecule: long non-coding RNA, 659 nt
Filed under: Phascolarctos cinereus (koala)
Lineage: Eukaryota; Metazoa; Chordata; Mammalia; Diprotodontia; Phascolarctidae
Description: lncRNA (ENSPCIG00000021328.2)
Source: RNAcentral